GCAUAUUGGAGAUAACAUCUGUAGAAAUUGGAGUUGUGGCGGUUAAGUCUAUUAAGAGCAACUACUAUUUAGCCAUGAACAAAAAAGGAAAAGUCUACGGCUCUAAGGAGUUUAAUAGCGAUUGCAAAUUGAAGGAAAGAAUAGAAGAAAAUGGAUAUAACACAUACGCGUCCUUAAAUUGGAAGCACAAUGGAAGGCAAAUGUUUGUGGCCCUGAAUGGGAGGGGAACCACAAAGAGAGGACAGAAAACAAGAAGGAAAAACACUUCAGCUCACUUUCUUCCUAUGGUAGUCAUGUCAUAGAUGAACAAACUAAUUUUUUGAUGUGGUUGAACCAAAGGCUGUUAUGUCAAGAAUAUUUGGUAAUUCUCUUAAAAGGUAGAUGCGGAGAAGUAGCACAGACAUCUGCAUGUUUGAAAUGAGAGCAGGGGAAGCCUUUGAAGGUUUUGUACUUAUUGCUGGCACAUGAAAUACCUUUAUUUAGUUCGUUGUCAUAUCUUAUAAUCAAAAUGAAGCUGGAUCAAAGGGGAUGGAAUUUAUUGCCAGUGUGAACUUUUUUUUUUUUUUUUUUUUUUUUCACUGCAACAGACCUUGAUGGACAUAAGACAAUCUGUUGCGUGAUCUUCAUGGGGAAUGCUAUUUAUGGAAUACUAACUCAUAUCAAAGUCCUUAAUUGCUCAUUCAAGCCUAAUGAUUCAAUGAACAGUUAGACACACAAGCAUUUACUGGAAGCACUUGGGUCAUAUGCACAAAUAAUGACAUUUCUGGAGAAGCCUUGUGGACGAAUGGAUAGGAUAAGCAAAGUAGUGUAUAACUGUUCUAACAAAAUGAAUAGUAUGGUUUGCUUGUAUGUCCUAAAUUCAUUUCUUUUUAUUUCUCUCUAAGUUAUUUAUUUAAUAGGAUGUUAAAUAUCUUUUUUAUUUGAAAUGUUUCUUCAUUUGCUUCUUUCUUAUUUUCCCUUUUUCUUAGUACUUCAGAGAGAGUUUGAUAGAGUAAAAUGUCAGAACCUCAAAAGUACUCAGAGAAUAGGUAUUAGACAAGGCUUUAAAGGCAGAAUUUAGAGUGUAUACUCCAUUUUUUUCCUAAACUGUCUUGCACUUAAGCAUAAGACCAAACAAGCAGUGCUUGGAUUUAUGGUAUUGGGUGUCUUUAUAUUGGAGAAAUUUUUGUACUUAUCAGCACUCAAGAAAAACCUUCAAGAAAUACUUUGUUCAAAGGGUCUUUCUGCUAUUUUGAAAUUGAGAGAAGGGGCCACAUCUGUACUUGGGUGUCAAUGCAUCUGUGUUUAUAUUCAUCUGACUUUGAUUUCAGUUUGGAGCUGGGAUCUAACACACUGCUAUCAGUGCGAUAUUUUGCAGCACACGCUGGGCUGGAACCUGAUGUGGUCAGCCCUGUUAAAAUCACUGAGACUGCAAGUGUAAAAAUAAAACAGUAGUGUGUAAUUCCUAAGUGUAACGUUUGGCCGCUGAAAGGAAAGCAAGAAGGCAAUACAGUCCUGCACACCUUAUUCAUUUGAUACUCUCAUUCAACCCAUUUGCCUUUGGUACCAACCUGAAGAAUCACAGGCAUAUAGUGGGAGUGAUACCUAACUAAGGGCUGCAAGACAGGAGAUCCAAAAUCAUGCUCAUGUGUUUUUCAGAGAUUAUUACUCACGUGUAUAUUAUAUAUGAGAGCCAACCAAAAAGCUGUGCUGGUUUCCAGCUUUAGCAUGCCUUUCAUAACCAUCACAGUAACUGAAGGCUCAAAAUACAUAAUAUCCAGCACAUUUUUAUGAAGUGUUAUUCAUCCCGUGGCUUAACUUGAGCAACUGCAGUAUAAUAAAGUUGAGCAUAAUAUGAAGUCUGUUCAAUUAAAGGUACAUAAGGUUUGUUUUAUAUUUUGCUUUACUCAGUAAUUUUAGAGAGCUCUGGAUAGCUCACCUGUGUAACCAUAUUGACAUUCAUUUUGUUAGAGCAGAUAAAUAGAAAACAGUACAUCAAACAAUUUGUACCACUGUCUUCACAUUGUAUUCCACUAAAUAAAUAAAUAAGCCUUUGCAGUGUCUUUAGUAAGAAACAAAAGUAGUAUAAUAUUAUUUUGUUUUAAAUACUUUAACUGAUAACUAUAAGAUUAUAUUGAUGCUGCAGUUUAUCUUCAAUAUUUCUCGUUGUGAAAAAGUUGGUUUUAUUUUUAUUGUUUGGAGACUGUAUUUUGGUACAAAGGAGAGCCUUGCUUAAUGUGUCUUUUUGAGAAUGUUUAACCUCUAUAAAGGCUGGUGUUGUUGGAAUCUUCUAUAACUUAUUUAAGUCAAUGUUUAACCAGCACUUCAAUCUUACUCUGUUAUUUAAAUACUAGCUCUUUUAAAAAAAAAAAAACAAAAACAAAAAAAAAAGCUUUCCCAUAAAAUACAAAAUGGUCAGAUUAUAUUUCCUGUCCUUAAAUAAUGUCAGCUGUUUUAAAACUAGGAAUUCAUUGAAAGACAAUAUAUUUUUAGUUGAUAGCUGAUGUUGUAUUUCAUGGUACUUUAUCUCCAGUUUUCUUCUUCACAAAUGACAUUUUUCUAGAAAGAGAAAUAAGAAUUUCAGAUUUUAAAUGUAAUUGCAGAUCACAGCGAAACUUAACUACCACGAUAAAAGCGAGUUUCUGUUGUUCAAAUUUGUAAUCAGUAAUUAAAACUGACAAGACAUAAUGGACCACCCGUACUGAACCUUCAGUAUGAGUUUGGAUGAAUGCAGUAUU
Molecule: non-coding RNA, 2717 nt
Organism: Cyanistes caeruleus (blue tit)
Lineage: Eukaryota; Metazoa; Chordata; Aves; Passeriformes; Paridae
Source: RefSeq, a predicted model, not a curated record